GGUUAAGCGACUAAGCGUACACGGUGGAUGCCCUGGCAGUCAGAGGCGAUGAAGGACGUGCUAAUCUGCGAUAAGCGCCGGUAAGGUGAUAUGAACCGUUAUAACCGGCGAUUUCCGAAUGGGGAAACCCAGUGUGAUUCGUCACACUAUCAUUAACUGAAUCCAUAGGUUAAUGAGGCGAACCGGGGGAACUGAAACAUCUAAGUACCCCGAGGAAAAGAAAUCAACCGAGAUUCCCCCAGUAGCGGCGAGCGAACGGGGAGGAGCCCAGAGCCUGAAUCAGCAUGUGUGUUAGUGGAAGCGUCUGGAAAGGUGCGCGAUACAGGGUGACAGCCCCGUACACAAAAGCGCAUGUGCUGUGAGCUCGAUGAGUAGGGCGGGACACGUGGUAUCCUGUCUGAAUAUGGGGGGACCAUCCUCCAAGGCUAAAUACUCCUGACUGACCGAUAGUGAACCAGUACCGUGAGGGAAAGGCGAAAAGAACCCCGGCGAGGGGAGUGAAAAAGAACCUGAAACCGUGUACGUACAAGCAGUGGGAGCACAGGUUUACCUGUGUGACUGCGUACCUUUUGUAUAAUGGGUCAGCGACUUAUAUUCUGUAGCAAGGUUAACCGUAUAGGGGAGCCGUAGGGAAACCGAGUCUUAAUUGGGCGUUAAGUUGCAGGGUAUAGACCCGAAACCCGGUGAUCUAGCCAUGGGCAGGUUGAAGGUUGGGUAACACUAACUGGAGGACCGAACCGACUAAUGUUGAAAAAUUAGCGGAUGACCUGUGGCU
Molecule: ribosomal RNA, 775 nt
Filed under: Salmonella enterica subsp. enterica serovar 1,4,[5],12:i:-
Lineage: Bacteria; Pseudomonadati; Pseudomonadota; Gammaproteobacteria; Enterobacterales; Enterobacteriaceae
Description: partial 23S ribosomal RNA
Rfam family: Bacterial large subunit ribosomal RNA
Source: RNAcentral